CCUACGGGUGGCAGCAGUGGGGAAUAUUGGGCAAUGGGCGCAAGCCUGACCCAGCAACGCCGCGUGAAGGAAGAAGGCUUUCGGGUUGUAAACUUCUUUUCUCAGGGACGAAGCAAGUGACGGUACCUGAGGAAUCAGCCACGGCUAACUACGUGCCAGCAGCCGCGGGAAUACGUAGGUGGCAAGCGUUAACCGGAUUUGCUGGGUGUAAAGGGCGUGUAGGCGGGGACGGAAGUCAGAUGUGAAAACCACGGGCGCAACCUGUGGCCUGCAUUUGAAACUGUGUUUCUUGAGUACUGGAGAGGCAGACGGAAUUCCUAGGGUAGCGGGGAAAUGCGUAGAUAUUAGGAGGAACACCAGUGGCGAAGGCGGUCUGCUGGACAGCAACUGACGCUGAGGCGCGAAAGCGUGGGGAGCAAACAGGAUUAGAUACCCGUGUAGUC
This 443-nucleotide ribosomal RNA is filed under the name uncultured bacterium. RNAcentral's name for it is "partial 16S ribosomal RNA". It matches the Rfam family "Bacterial small subunit ribosomal RNA", at positions 338 to 795 of the family's 1533-position model. The record is from RNAcentral.